ACACUUACCUGGCAGGGGAGAUACCAUGAUCAAAAAGGUUGUUUUCCUAAGGCAAGGUUUAUCCAUUGCAUUCUGGAUGUGCUGACUCCUGCAAUUUACCCAAACUGGGAAGCUCAACUACAAAAUUUGCAAUAAGAGGACUCUGUGUUCAUGCUCUGCCCUG
Molecule: small nuclear RNA, 163 nt
Organism: Phyllostomus discolor (pale spear-nosed bat)
Lineage: Eukaryota; Metazoa; Chordata; Mammalia; Chiroptera; Phyllostomidae
Product: U1 spliceosomal RNA
Exons: 1
Source: RefSeq, a predicted model, not a curated record